GAUGAACGCUGGCGGCGUGCUUAACACAUGCAAGUCGAACGGAAAGGCCCAAGCUUGCUUGGGUACUCGAGUGGCGAACGGGUGAGUAACACGUGGGUGAUCUGCCCUGCACUUCGGGAUAAGCCUGGGAAACUGGGUCUAAUACCGGAUAGGACCACUUCUUGGAUGUUGUGGUGGAAAGUUUUUUCGGUGUGGGAUGAGCUCGCGGCCUAUCAGCUUGUUGGUGGGGUAAUGGCCUACCAAGGCGUCGACGGGUAGCCGGCCUGAGAGGGUGUACGGCCACAUUGGGACUGAGAUACGGCCCAGACUCCUACGGGAGGCAGCAGUGGGGAAUAUUGCACAAUGGGCGCAAGCCUGAUGCAGCGACGCCGCGUGGGGGAUGACGGCCUUCGGGUUGUAAACUCCUUUCGCUAGAGACGAAGCGUUUUUGUGACGGUACCUGGAGAAGAAGCACCGGCUAACUACGUG
RNAcentral lists this ribosomal RNA (468 nucleotides) under uncultured bacterium. Its description in RNAcentral is "partial 16S ribosomal RNA". It matches the Rfam family "Bacterial small subunit ribosomal RNA", at positions 28 to 507 of the family's 1533-position model. The record is from RNAcentral.